RNAcentral lists this transfer RNA (69 nucleotides) under Kurixalus eiffingeri (big-thumbed treefrog). RNAcentral's name for it is "partial tRNA-Val". The record is from RNAcentral. Lineage: Eukaryota; Metazoa; Chordata; Amphibia; Anura; Rhacophoridae.
CAAAAUGUAGCUUACUAAAGCCUUUCGCUUACACCGAAAAAACAUCUUGUGCAACCCAGAUCAAUUUGG